This is an RNA transcript of Telopea speciosissima, 2468 nucleotides long. It is a transcript of the gene named putative pentatricopeptide repeat-containing protein At3g13770, mitochondrial, with no coding region annotated. The transcript has 4 exons. The record is from RefSeq and is a predicted model, not a curated record. Lineage: Eukaryota; Viridiplantae; Streptophyta; Magnoliopsida; Proteales; Proteaceae.
GAGCUGAGAGCCAACUCAAUGUCUCAGAGGACCGUUGUUAGGAGCUGAAAAUGCUCUGGAGAACCACCUGCUUUCUCCUUCAGACAAACCGCUUUUCUUCUCUCUCUGUUCCAUUCAUCACCCAAAUGACCUCCCAUUUCCCUCCAAUUUCAAAUCUGAAACACCUUUGCAUCAAAGGCCACUUAAAAGAUGCCUUGAUAGAAAUGGCAAUUCAAGGGGAACAGAUGUGUUUCGAAGGCUACGAUUCUUUGUUAACACAAUGUGUGAACCAGAAAGCUGUUAGAGAGGGCCAGAGAGUCCAUGCCCACAUGAUAAAAACUCGUUAUCUCCCACCUGUUUACCUUAGAACCAGGCUUAUUGUUAUGUAUAAUAAGUGUAAUUAUCUUAAUGAUGCUAGGCAAGUGCUUGAUGAAAUGCCUGAAAGGAAUGUUGUUUCUUGGACGGCCAUGAUUUCUGCUUAUUCUCAGAGGGGAUAUACAUUUGAAGCUUUGGAUCUCUUUGUACAGAUGUUAAGAUCAGGUACACUGCCGAAUGAGUUCACUUUUGCGACGAUACUUACUUCUUGUUCAGGUGCUUGUGGCUUAAACCAUGGUAGGCAAAUCCACUCUCUCUUAAUCAAGAGGAACUUUGAAUCACACAUAUUUGUUGGGAGCUCACUUCUUGACAUGUAUGCCAAAUCUGGUGAAAUCCAUGAAGCACGAGGAGUCUUUGAAAGGUUGCCCGAAAGGGAUGUUGUGUCUUGCACUGCAAUCAUUGCUGGCUAUGCUCAAUUAGGUCUUGAUGAAGAUGCAUUAGAAUUAUUCCGCCAGUUACAGAAGGAAGGGAUGGAAUCGAAUUAUGUGACCUAUGCUAGUGUUUUAACUGCAUUGUCUGGGCUCGCUGCAUUGGAUCAUGGCCGACAAGUCCACAACAGGGUCCUCCGAUCUGAACUGCUGUCUUAUGUGGUUCUCCAGAAUUCUCUGAUUGAUAUGUACUCAAAAUGUGGAAGCCUCACUUACUCAAGAAUGGUUUUUGAUGGGAUGUCUGAGAGAACUGUCAUCACAUGGAAUGCAAUGCUCGUGGGGUAUGGUAAGCAUGGGCGGGGAAGAGAGGUGGUUGAACUUUUCAGGUUGAUGAGGAAAGAAAAUGAAGUCAAGCCUGAUAGUAUAACUUUCAUGGCAGUUCUAUCAGGUUGCAGCCAUGGGGGGUUGGUUGAUGAAGGGUUGAGUAUUUUUGAUGAAAUGGUUAGUGCAGAAAAUGAAGUUGAACCAGAGAUACAGCAUUAUGGAUGUGUUGUUGAUUUGCUUGGACGUUCUGGACAAGUAGACAGGGCUUUGGCCUUCAUCGAACAGAUGCCAUUUACACCAACUGCAGCUAUUUGGGGUUCACUUUUAGGGGCAUGUAGAGUUCAUGCUAAUGUUCCUGUUGGAGAAUAUGUGGCUCGGCGCCUUUUUGAUAUUGAGCCACAAAAUGCCGGGAACUAUGUUAUUCUUUCAAAUUUAUAUGCUUCUUUGGGAAGAUGGGAAGAUGUGACCAUGUUGAGGCAGUUGAUGAUGGAGAAGUCUGUGACUAAGGAGCCAGGGCGAAGCUGGAUCAAGCAAGGGCGGACAGUACAUAGUUUUCAUGCCAGUGAUCGAUCCCACCCAAGAAAGGAAGAGGUGGUUGCAAAGGUGAAGGAAUUGUCAGAAAAGAUCAAGGAAGCAGGUUAUGUUCCUGAUCUCAGCUGUGUGUUGCAUGAUGUGGAUGAGGAGCAGAAGGAGAGGAUACUUCUUGGCCACAGUGAGAAAUUGGCCCUGGCAUUUGGGAUGAUUGUCACUCCUCCAGGGCUUCCUAUCAGGAUCAUGAAAAAUCUCCGUAUUUGUGUGGAUUGCCAUAAUUUUGCCAAGUAUCUAUCCAAGGGUUAUUUAAGAGAAGUAUUCCUUAGGGAUAGUAACCGUUUUCAUCACAUUGUUGGAGGAACAUGCUCUUGUGGGGAUUACUGGUGAAGAUUCUUCAGAAGCUACCACCUUUUUUCUGUUGCUUUUGGGAAGUCCAAGUAGUGAGAUCCUUCUUUUAUUAUAAAUUUAGGGCUACAAUUGUUUGGCAUGAAAUCGGAACCCCUGUCAUUCAGAAAUUCAGACAUAGUCAAAAUGGAGCUCAGAGGGAAGGAGCAAUAAAAGGAAGGCAGUUGGCAGUUGCUGCUGAUAUACCAUUCAGUUGCCUUCUUGCAAGGAGGAUCAGGUUAUCCUUGAUGGAUAUUUAUGGAGAAAGUAAGAUAAGACUCGCCUUGAAUCAUUAUCUUGGAGCUAAAAUGGGCCAUUUUCUCAUCUUUCAGUAUCAGCUCAUGUUACUUCCUCCUGGUAUAUUCUUUGGGGUUUGAGGAUCUGAAAAGAGCAUAACAGACUUGCGUCCACACUCAUCAGUGCACCUGCAUUGUUGAAUUCUCCACAAUAGUUUGGGGCUGAGAAUAUCGUAACCAGUUGCCGCUCUGCAAAGAACUCGUACCCAUC